ACCCUGGUUUAGUCACUUUCACUGCAUUAAUCAAUGCAUUUGUAAAAAGAGGGAAAAGCAUUGAAAUUGUAUGCGAGAAAGUUUUUAAAAGGAUAAAGUUCACUUGAAACAAAUAACA
Molecule: non-coding RNA, 118 nt
Filed under: Arabidopsis thaliana (thale cress)
Lineage: Eukaryota; Viridiplantae; Streptophyta; Magnoliopsida; Brassicales; Brassicaceae
Source: RNAcentral